RNAcentral lists this transfer RNA (72 nucleotides) under Camelus bactrianus (Bactrian camel). It matches the Rfam family "tRNA". Rfam says of the family: Transfer RNA (tRNA) molecules are approximately 80 nucleotides in length. Lineage: Eukaryota; Metazoa; Chordata; Mammalia; Artiodactyla; Camelidae. The record is from Rfam by way of RNAcentral. RNAcentral also lists the same sequence under 1 other name.
GAGGGUGUAGCUCAGUGGUAGGGCGUUUGCUUAGCAUGCACGAGGUCCUGGGUUCAAUCCCCGGUACUUCUG